AAUAGGUAAAAAAAAAAAAAACAGUGUCUCUGGCUGUUAUAAAACCUCAGUCCGAGUGCGCUAGUCGUCCGGGUCGGUCCGUUCUUCGUCUGUGCGCUCCGUCAGCUUGGCAUUUUCGCUAUCAUUUCAAAGAGCCCCAUUUUUUUUUUUUUUUUUUUUUAAUAAUUUUCUUACAUAGUUGGUCGUGUUUUGCGAGACAUAAUAAUGAACUAAAUGUCAAAGGUCAAUGGAUAACCCUUCAAAUUGUCGUAUUUACAUCAUUCACCCCAGUCAGCGACACCUAUCCAACUAGCUGCUUGUUACCGAAAAAAACAAAAAAAUACUAAAAAUUUAACGAAAAAUCACGAAAUGAAUCAACAUUCCUCCGCGUGCUUUUCUCCUUACCCGCGGCACACCUUCGUCGUCAGCAGUUUUUCUUGGCUCUUUUUUUUUUUUUUUGUGUUUAACUUCGUGAAAUGAGCAAAUUCCAAUUUAUUAAAUUCUCUUUGUCAAGAUGCCCGAACAGCAUUUUUCUCUCUCUCUCCAAUUUUUUUAUUAUUAUUGUUGCAGUCGUUUCCCAAUCAAGUCGACGCAAGUUUUCAUUUCCGCCAUUAAAAAAAUAAAAGAAUCUUGAAGCUAUGAAAAUCGCACCAGUGCGUGUUUCUAGCGGUAUUCUGACCCGCCGCAACCGACGGCGCUUAAAUACCUUUAUGUACGGUCUUUUUCUUCUUCUCCCGUCAUAUAUAUUUAAAAAAAAAACAAAAAAACGGGUAUCGGUGUAUAUUUGUUGUUGUUGUUGUGUGUUAAAUUUUUAACCUUCUUUCAUGUCGAUGUCAUCCUUCCAAACUAGUUACUUUCGAUCGAAAUGCGGGACGAAUGGACGACAAUAGCGUGUCAGCAUGCUGGCACUAUUUGGUUUUAAUUCAGGUCAAAAUCAUCUGUCACGGUGAGACGAAUAUAAAAUGGAGAUCGUUUUGAAAAAAACAAAAAACUAAAUGGCCCUCCCCCCGCCGAUGAUUGGAAUCUUUUUUCUGGUGUUUAUCUUUCGUAGGAACGAUAAGGAAAAAUAGAUGUUCGUGUAAAAAGAAAUUGUGCUUCGGGAUCCGGAGGCAUCAGAGAUGCUGAGACCGUGGAAUGGGGUCAAAUGACUUAUAAGAAAGAAAGAAAGAGAGAGAGGUCAUCUCUCUCUAUUCUUCAUAAUAUCCCGCACAAGAGGUUUCGUUUGGCCUACUUCAGUUCCGGCUUCGCCUUAUACAGCGGUGGAAAAAAAAUUCAUGUCGAAGAGUCGGUCAUGAAAUGAUCAUAUGCAAAUUUAAUGCGCGUGUGUGUCGAAAUCAGCUUCUUUUGCCUUGUUUGUUGCGACCACAACACAAUGAAAUGAAAUUUAAAAAACAAAACAAAACAAAAACAUUCGCCAUCAGUUUAGAAAGAAAAGAUGGUGGGAUUUCGUCAUGCGACGUCGAUCGAAAUGCUGAAUAAACUUUUUAAAAUGAAGACAGGCAAUCGAGGAAAUGAAGGAUAUUUGAUGAUGGCGGCAAUAAGCUGGUCAUAAUACAGUACCAUACGGGGCCGAGGUUGUUUCACAGUUCCAAACUGCAGCAAACGGUCAGCAAAAGCAACGGUCAGCACCAUGGCCAGGUUGGCCCUCAGGUGUUUUCAUCCUCUCUGUAAUAAGUUACAGCCACUAGAAAAAGAAGGGAGAGAUGCGGUCCAUCUACGGACGGCAGCUGUCUUGAAAAUGCCCCCUUCCUAUUUUCUUCUUCUUUCCUUCAUUUCUGCCCUACAGCUCACAACGCAGGUUGUUUCCCUUUUGUGUGCGCAGUAGGAGAAAAAGCUCAUCAUUCAUCUCGUUGAGUUUCUUCUUCAACCCUCAUUGGGCCGCUCACGGGCCUCAACGGAUCCGAUGGCUGAAGGGAACCCCCCACAUAUUCGAGAAUUAAGAUCUAAAUAAUAACGCCCUGAUUGGUCCCCUCCUGCUGUUCAUCCGACCAUUUCAUGUGUCGUCCAUUACGAAUUGGCUACGCAGCAGUUCCAUUCUGUACCCUCAUCAUGCACCUUUUCAUUCCGCCAUUUUGAUAGAAUUAUCCCCCCACCCCACUCCUCUUUAAAUCCCUAACAUGUAGCAGUCCCCCGCUUUCUCCUGUCUCUUCAUUGGACGAUGAGAUUAUCAAAUAGCGGGCGACUCCCCAACCAUUUCCUGUACGUCGUGGAAUGUUCGGGUCUUUUCACAACGGAAAAAUCAAAUAAAUUCCUGUACGAUUUUAUCGCGAUUCACUUGCACACAUCGGUCGAUUCCCCUCUACUGAAAUAUUGCUGUCUCCGUCCCCCCAAAAAAAAUAAAAACAAAAUAUCCGGUUAUCAUAAAACUUUAUGCUGAGUUGAGGAUCGUAUCGAUCCUCCCUUUUAUGGCCAUCCGACUGUUGUUGUUUUGUUCUUAGGGCGAUGACUGUAUUGUUUAUACACACACAAUAUCAGCCUGUCCAAAAUGUCCCACGCCAUUUUUCUAUUCACAUCAAAUAACACAGAACCGACUUUUGAAUUUCAAAAAAAAAAAAAUUCUUUUAAAAAUUUGUGUUCCAUAACAGGGUCACGAGAAGAAGAA
This is a long non-coding RNA of Daphnia magna, 2581 nucleotides long. RefSeq lists it as uncharacterized. The record is from RefSeq and is a predicted model, not a curated record. Lineage: Eukaryota; Metazoa; Arthropoda; Branchiopoda; Diplostraca; Daphniidae. The transcript has 2 exons.